GAAAUGCUAUAAGUAAUGUGAAUUGCAGAAUUCAGUGAAUCAUCGAAUCUUUGAACGCACAUUGCGCCCGCCAGUAUUCUGGCGGGCAUGCCUGUUCGAGCGUCAUUUCAACCAUCAAGCCCCCGGGCUUGUGUUGGGGACCUGCGGCUGCCGCAGGCCCCGAAAACCAGUGGCGGGCUCGCUGUCACACCGGGCGUAGUAGAUUUUUCGUCUCGCCCAGGGCGUGCUGCGGGUUCCGGCCGUUAAAAAGCCUCUCUUUUAACCCAAGGUUGACCUCGGAUCAGGUAGGAAGACCCGCUGAACUUAAGC
This 309-nucleotide unclassified non-coding RNA is filed under the name plant metagenome. RNAcentral describes it as "partial contains 5.8S ribosomal RNA, internal transcribed spacer 2, and large subunit ribosomal RNA". The stretch from base 1 to 105 matches the Rfam family "5.8S ribosomal RNA", at positions 50 to 154 of the family's 154-position model. The record is from RNAcentral.